ACUCAAAUGAAUUGACGGGGACCCGCACAAGCGGUGGAGCAUGUGGUUUAAUUCGAUGAUACGCGAAGAACCUUACCAAGGCUUGACAUCCUGCGAACCCCCAAGAAACUGGGGGGUGCCUUCGGGAACGCAGUGACAGGUGUUGCAUGGCCGUCGUCAGCUCGUGUCGUGAGAUGUUGGGUUAAGUCCCGCAACGAGCGCAACCCUUAUCGUCUGUUGCAAUUUCAGGCGAGACUGCCCGGGCCAACCGGGAGGAAGGUGGGGAUGAUGUCAGGUCAGCAUGGCCCUUACGCCUUGGGCUACACACGUGCUACAAUGGCCGGUACAAUGCGUUUUGCCAACCCGCGAGGGGGAGCUAAUCGUAGCAAAACCGGUCCCAGUUCGGAUUGAAGGCUGCAACUCGCCUCCAUGAAGUCGGAAUCGCUAGUAACCGUAGGUCAGCAUACUACGGUGAAUACGUUCCCGGGUCUUGUACACACCGCCCGU
Molecule: ribosomal RNA, 486 nt
Filed under: uncultured bacterium
Lineage: Bacteria
Description: partial 16S ribosomal RNA
Rfam family: Bacterial small subunit ribosomal RNA
Source: RNAcentral